RNAcentral lists this ribosomal RNA (253 nucleotides) under uncultured bacterium. RNAcentral's name for it is "partial 16S ribosomal RNA". It matches the Rfam family "Bacterial small subunit ribosomal RNA", at positions 524 to 776 of the family's 1533-position model. The record is from RNAcentral.
UACGAAGGGGGCUAGCGUUGCUCGGAAUCACUGGGCGUAAAGGGUGCGUAGGCGGGGCUUUAAGUCAGGGGUGAAAUCCUGGAGCUCAACUCCAGAACUGCCUUUGAUACUGAGGAUCUUGAGUUCGGGAGAGGUGAGUGGAACUGCGAGUGUAGAGGUGAAAUGCGUAGAUAUCGGGAGGAACACCAGUGGCGAAGGCGGCUUCCUGGCCUGUUCUUGACGCUGAGGCGCGAAAGCUAGGGUAGCAAACGGG